CCUACGGGACGCAGCAGUGAGGAAUAUUGGUCAAUGGGCGAGAGCCUGAACCAGCCAAGUCGCGUGAGGGAGUACUGCCCUAUGGGUUGUAAACCUCUUUUGUCGGGGAGCAAAAGCCGGACGUGUCCGGCUGUGAGAGUACCCGAAGAAAAAGCAUCGGCUAACUCCGUGCCAGCAGCCGCGGUAAUACGGAGGAUGCGAGCGUUAUCCGGAUUUAUUGGGUUUAAAGGGUGCGCAGGCGGAUUUUUAAGUCAGCGGUAAAAUCGUGGGGCUCAACCCCAUCCAGCCGUUGAAACUGGGGAUCUAGAGUGUGCGAGAGGUAUGCGGAAUGCGUGGUGUAGCGGUGAAAUGCAUAGAUAUCACGCAGAACCCCGAUUGCGAAGGCAGCAUACCGGUGCACAACUGACGCUCAGGCACGAAAGCGUGGGUAUCGAACAGGAUUAGAUACCCCUGUAGUC
This 458-nucleotide ribosomal RNA is filed under the name uncultured bacterium. RNAcentral describes it as "partial 16S ribosomal RNA". It matches the Rfam family "Bacterial small subunit ribosomal RNA", at positions 338 to 795 of the family's 1533-position model. The record is from RNAcentral.